CUGGUCUUUUGGGUUGGAUUUUUCUUUUGUACAAAAGUUCAAAAAGUUGGCUUUUUGUGUUUGAGAGUUAGAUUAAAAAAGCUAUGCAAAGUGAUUCCUUUUUCACUUACACAGAAUGGCCACUUCAGAAAUGCUUGAAGAUUAUUCAAUCACAGGAUAUAACAUGUUCAAAUUAUAGUGACAUUACAGAUAAGAAUAGACUUGAAGAUGGAAGAUGUGACUGAGAAAAACACUAUCUGUAACAGUAGCAGGCAUACGUACACUGACAGUAUGGUGGUCUGAAAGAAACCUUUCUUCUUGAAGUUCCAAACAAGGACAACAGAAGCAGAAUGAGUACGAGGAGUAUGAGUGCGACAAAAGGUGAGCUAUAGUUGGUUUCUUCUUCUUCUGGUUCACCUGAAAAGAGCUUCGGUGCAGACAGAAGAAUCAAGGCCAGGACCAAGAUCAGAACAACAUUGGGAGUACGAGCAUCACAAGGUCUUGGUUUAUGAACGUAGUAGUAACCCAUUGAAUCCCUGAGAAAAUAACACAGAAAUGAAGGAUUUUUAUGGAGAAAGAGAUUCAGAAUGAUAAAGUCAAAAGGAACAUGAAGAAGGAAAAUAUUGUAGUUGGUAUUAUUUGUCAUCCACACACAAUUUGGUACGUAUUUAGUGUUUUAAUAAUAUCUAUGAGGCUGUCAAAUUCCGUCAGAAUGACGAUAUUAUCAUCACAGACCAAAUAGUGGGGUCAUCGACUACCACCUAUUCAUGAUUUUCAAUUUCUCACAAACAAUUCCGUUUGAAACGAAAGAGUAGCUCUUUAUAUCAGAUUCAGUUCAACCAAAUAGAU
Molecule: small RNA, 828 nt
Filed under: Vigna angularis var. angularis
Lineage: Eukaryota; Viridiplantae; Streptophyta; Magnoliopsida; Fabales; Fabaceae
Description: Non-protein coding transcript
Source: RNAcentral